UUGCCUACGGGAGGCAGCAGUGGGGAAUAUUGGGCAAUGGGCGCAAGCCUGACCCAGCAACGCCGCGUGAAGGAAGAAGGCUUUCGGGUUGUAAACUUCUUUUCUCAGGGACGAAGAAAGUGACGGUACCUGAGGAAUAAGCCACGGCUAACUACGUGCCAGCAGCCGCGGUAAUACGUAGGUGGCAAGCGUUAUCCGGAUUUACUGGGUGUAAAGGGCGUGUAGGCGGGAAAGGAAGUCAGAUGUGAAAACCAUGGGGUCAACCUGUGGCCGGCAGUUGAAACUGUUUUUCUUGAGAACUGGAG
This 305-nucleotide ribosomal RNA is filed under the name uncultured bacterium. Its description in RNAcentral is "bacterial SSU rRNA". It matches the Rfam family "Bacterial small subunit ribosomal RNA", at positions 335 to 654 of the family's 1533-position model. The record is from RNAcentral.